This 253-nucleotide ribosomal RNA is filed under the name uncultured bacterium. Its description in RNAcentral is "partial 16S ribosomal RNA". It matches the Rfam family "Bacterial small subunit ribosomal RNA", at positions 524 to 776 of the family's 1533-position model. The record is from RNAcentral.
UACAGAGGGUGCAAGCGUUAAUCGGAAUUACUGGGCGUAAAGCGUGCGUAGACGGUAGCGUAAGUCGGGUGUGAAAGCCCCGGGCUCAACCUGGGAAUUGCAUUCGAGACUGCUCUGCUAGGGUGCGGAAGAGGGGAGCGGAAUUUCCGGUGUAGUGGUGAAAUGCGUAGAUAUCGGAAGGAACACCAGUGGCGAAAGCGGCUCCCUGGUCCAGCACCGACGUUCAGGCACGAAAGCGUGGGGAGCAAACAGG